Molecule: ribosomal RNA, 440 nt
Filed under: uncultured bacterium
Lineage: Bacteria
Description: partial 16S ribosomal RNA
Rfam family: Bacterial small subunit ribosomal RNA
Source: RNAcentral
CCUACGGGAGGCAGCAGUGGGGAAUAUUGCACAAUGGGGGAAACCCUGAUGCAGCGACGCCGCGUGAGUGAAGAAGUAAUUCGUUAUGUAAAGCUCUAUCAGCAGGGAAGAAAAUGACGGUACCUGAGUAAUACGCCCCGGCUAACUACGUGCCAGCAGCCGCGGUCAUACGUCGGGGGCAAGCGUUAUCCGGAUUUACUGGGUGUAAAGGGAGCGUAGACGGCAGUGCAAGUCUGGAGUGAAAGGCGGGGGCUCAACCCCCGGACUGCUCUGGAAACUGUCCGGCUGGAGUGCAGGAGAGGUAAGUGGAAUUCCUAGUGUAGCGGUGAAAUGCGUAGAUAUUAGGAGGAACACCAGUGGCGAAGGCGGCUUACUGGACUGUAACUGACGUUGAGGCUCGAAAGCGUGGGGAGCAAACAGGAUUAGAUACCCCAGUAGUC